UCCGAGUUGACCCCGGCAGUCUCCUAUGAGUCCCCGGCAUUAUCCGCUGGCAACAUAGAACGAGGGUUGCGCUCGUUGCGGGACUUAACCCAACAUCUCACGACACGAGCUGACGACAACCAUGCACCACCUGUACAGGGCCCUUGCGGACCUGCCAUCUCUGACAGUUUUCCCUGUAUGUCAAGCCUUGGUAAGGUUCUUCGCGUUGCAUCGAAUUAAUCCGCAUGCUCCGCCGCUUGUGCGGGCCCCCGUCAAUUCCUUUGAGUUUUAGCCUUGCGGCCGUACUCCCCAGGCGGGGCGCUUAAUGCGUUAGCUGCGGCACGGAACUCGUGGAAUGAGCCCCACACCUAGCGCCCAACGUUUACGGCAUGGACUAC
This 377-nucleotide unclassified non-coding RNA is filed under the name uncultured Actinomycetes bacterium. Its description in RNAcentral is "uncultured actinobacterium contains 16S-23S intergenic spacer region". Lineage: Bacteria; Bacillati; Actinomycetota; Actinomycetes. The record is from RNAcentral.